RNAcentral lists this long non-coding RNA (1186 nucleotides) under Citrus x clementina. RNAcentral's name for it is "Citrus clementina (C. clementina) long non-coding RNA (CCLE_LNC000621)". The record is from RNAcentral. Lineage: Eukaryota; Viridiplantae; Streptophyta; Magnoliopsida; Sapindales; Rutaceae.
GCCAGUCACAUGACCACUCCUAUCAACACCACUGCAAAAAAAGCACAUCCUCUUCAUUAAUAAAUGAAGUUUUGUUCCUGCUUUACUUCACCAUUCAUUUUCAUCUCAUAAAAGAGCAAUUUAUUGGAAUACAACAUACCUCGAUUACUGAAAGAGGAUUAAGAUAAUUUAAAAAAUGAAAACUGCGAGACAAUACGAGUAGUAUCAUGAUAAACUUAACCCCAGAUGGACAGCCAUUUUUUAAUCGUAAUUAAUGAAACAAAUGUAGAUCGAGAUUUCCGGAAAACAACACCACAAAUACAAGUAUAUGUGCAUCCAAAAUGAAGAAGAAAUGUUUCAGCUUCAGACAUUACCUCGAAUAAAGACAUCAAAUUAGUUUCUGUAAAGAGCAUUGUCAGGAGGGGGCGCCUAACAGCCCAAGGAUAACGAUGGAGUAUAUAAAAUUCGGCGCCAUACCUACAAUAGGAAGCAACAAUCAGGCACGUAUUGAUGAUUUACAUAGAAAUUUAGGCUUAAAAAUGAGAAAACACUUAUCAUGAGCUAAGAGCAAUGAGGCUCUUAAUUGUUUCAAAAUUUGAAACUAAUAAUAGAUGUAUGUUAUACAAACAAAUUCAGACUUCAAUACUUGUAAGAAAAAUCAAGUCAGUAAAUAUGGAACCUACUUAUCUCCGUUCCAUAGGUUUGGUUGUCUUUUUUUUUUUUUAAUUAAUGUUCAGAAUCGAUUAAAAAGUUUUUUAAUUCGAGUUCUUGCUAAUUUCAUUUUUUUAUUCCAUUGUGAAAUCCAAUUUUCUUAUUUAAUUUUAUUCCGAUCCUAUCUACCCAUUCGAAUUUUGGUUGCUUAAUUGUUCAGGAUGUUGGAGUUGAGAAUGAUCCUCUUGAAGACUUGAAUACUGAGGCAGAGAGGAGGUUGAUCCAACUGUUUUCCUACGAUUCUUGGGAACAUUAGAUACUACUUUUAAAGUAUUCAACCUACUAAAUGAUUCCUCCACACUACUGUUACCCUUAAAAAUCAUCUAAUUAUUUAUUCAUACACUAAUCUAAAUAAUGGCGUGAUAAAUCAGAAACCUUUCUUCAUGAAACAUGAACUGAGGGGAUGAAAGAAAUUAAGUUACCUUGAGCAUUUGAAUCCCUUUUUCGAAUGUAAGACAAAGAGUCUUUGACUUGUAAUGCAACAUUUAGAAAAUGC